RNAcentral lists this ribosomal RNA (1413 nucleotides) under Enterococcus faecium. RNAcentral's name for it is "partial 23S ribosomal RNA". It matches the Rfam family "Bacterial large subunit ribosomal RNA", at positions 119 to 1534 of the family's 2925-position model. The record is from RNAcentral. Lineage: Bacteria; Bacillati; Bacillota; Bacilli; Lactobacillales; Enterococcaceae.
UGGGGGAACCCAACAUCUUUAAUAGGAUGUUACGAUUGUGUGAAUACAUAGCACAUUCGAGGUAGACGCAGAGAACUGAAACAUCUAAGUACCUGCAGGAAGAGAAAGAAAAUUCGAUUCCCUGAGUAGCGGCGAGCGAAACGGGAAAAGCCCAAACCAGCAAGCUUGCUUGUUGGGGUUGUAGGACUCCAAUAUGGUAGUUCUUUCAGAUAGUCGAAUGACUUGGAAAAGUCAGUCAAAGAGGGUAAAAACCCCGUAGACGAAAUGUGGAAGACACCUAGGAGGAUCCUGAGUACGGCGGAACACGAGAAAUUCCGUCGGAAUCCGGGAGGACCAUCUCCCAAGGCUAAAUACUCCCUAGUGACCGAUAGUGAACCAGUACCGUGAGGGAAAGGUGAAAAGCACCCCGGAAGGGGAGUGAAAUAGAACCUGAAACCGUGUGCCUACAACAAGUCAAAGCCCGUUAAUGGGUGAUGGCGUGCCUUUUGUAGAAUGAACCGGCGAGUUACGAUUGCAUGCGAGGUUAAGUUGAAGAGACGGAGCCGCAGCGAAAGCGAGUCUGAAUAGGGCGUUUGAGUAUGUAGUCGUAGACCCGAAACCAUGUGAUCUACCCAUGUCCAGGUUGAAGGUGCGGUAAAACGCACUGGAGGACCGAACCCACGUACGUUGAAAAGUGCGGGGAUGAGGUGUGGGUAGCGGAGAAAUUCCAAACGAACUUGGAGAUAGCUGGUUCUCUCCGAAAUAGCUUUAGGGCUAGCCUCGGAAUUGAGAAUGAUGGAGGUAGAGCACUGUUUGGACUAGGGGCCCAUCUCGGGUUACCGAAUUCAGAUAAACUCCGAAUGCCAUUCAUUCAUAUCCGGGAGUCAGACUGUGAGUGAUAAGAUCCAUAGUCGAAAGGGAAACAGCCCAGACCACCAGCUAAGGUCCCAAAAUAUAUGUUAAGUGGAAAAGGAUGUGGGGUUGCACAGACAACUAGGAUGUUGGCUUAGAAGCAGCCACCAUUUAAAGAGUGCGUAAUAGCUCACUAGUCGAGUGACCCUGCGCCGAAAAUGUACCGGGGCUAAACAUAUUACCGAAGCUGUGGAGUACACCUUUAGGUGUAUUGGUAGGAGAGCGUUCUAAGGGCGUUGAAGGCAGAUCGUGAGGACUGCUGGAGCGCUUAGAAGUGAGAAUGCCGGUAUGAGUAGCGAAAGACAGGUGAGAAUCCUGUCCACCGAAUGACUAAGGUUUCCUGGGGAAGGCUCGUCCGCCCAGGGUUAGUCGGGACCUAAGCCGAGGCCGACAGGCGUAGGCGAUGGAUAACAGGUUGAUAUUCCUGUACCCGUUGUUUUUGUUUGAGCAAUGGAGGGACGCAGGAGGCUAAGGAAUGCAGACGAUCGGAAAUGUCUGUCCAAGCAGUAAGUCUGAAGAGGA